UUGAGAUGAUCCAGCAUGUUCUUACGGUAAUGACUAUUCUAGCGUGAUGAUGCGUAGGUGCCCCAUACCUAACUUACAUGGCUAAAUAAACUUUCUUUGCCUGUCAUCAGCAAUCGCGCCGAUGUGGCAAGUCUGUAGAAAAUAUGGUUACUAAACGUUGCGUCGUUCUCCGUUGUUGAUGGCCAGAUGGGCAUUAACAUCAAGGAAGACCAACGGGAGGCAGAAGGUGCACGCCUACUGUCUGAACAGAUGUACGCCGGGUUGGCUGUGAUUUUGGCCAUAUAUCAAAGGACCCCAGCUGUCGCACGUGUUACUGGUCACUGAUUUGAGGUUCUAACAGCCUUGCUCUCCCUCCGUACGUCCCAUACAACCCGCUUGCCUGGAGCCAGGAGCCAUGCCGGGUCCCGAG
Molecule: long non-coding RNA, 409 nt
Filed under: Volvox carteri
Lineage: Eukaryota; Viridiplantae; Chlorophyta; Chlorophyceae; Chlamydomonadales; Volvocaceae
Description: long non-coding RNA (VCAR_LNC001525)
Source: RNAcentral